CAAGGGUCCCUCUUGGGGGGCUUUAGGGGUCUCGGAGCUGCAGUGUCAGGGCAGACAGGGGCCGGUUCUCUUCCCGAGUUCCUCUGCACAGACUCUCGAGGCGCACUACACCCGCCGGGGCAUUUCCCAUCGUCUCUCCUUACUUGGUUAUCACGGUGAAACCGUGUCGGCCACCGCAACCAUGCUGGGGCUCGCCCUCAAUAAAACGCCGCGCGGUUAAACGAUGCAUUAGAGAAACGUGUGCGCACGUGUGUGCAUUCUCGCUUGUCUCUUUUACACCCACACACUUGAUUCUAUUCCUCUCCAUCCUCCCCUCAAUUUGACUCUCCCCUCUUCCCCGCAGUUCCCAUCAGGUAUGUUCUAGAACAGACACAGGUUGCCACCAGCUGUCCCGAACAUCAGUUACAAAUCUCCGCAAGGGACGAAAACAUCUGCUCGGGUAGAAGCUGGAAGCCGCGGCGGCGGGUGUCGCGCGGCGGGGACGCCCCACGCCCGGCGCAGCGCCAGGGGAGAGGGCCCCUGCGGCUCGCAGAGGAUCCUCGAACGGCAGGCAGCACGCGCAUGCACGUGGUGGAAAAUUCAAGCAGGACAAAAGGAUGCGCAUGCACGCAGGGCCUUUACGAAAGAGGGUGUCAUGGACAUCAACACCUCCGAAAAGGCCGGAGGCUCGAAGUUACGUUGCCCGUCCCGACCUCAGAACCAGCGCCCGGACGGACGGGCAUCCUCGGAGUUAAGAGUGGGAGAGCGCCCAGAGCUCCUUCGAAUCUGGCCUCCAUCUUUCGCUUGGAGGAUUUCCUCAUUCAUCAGGGAGAAAAGGCCGUGUACCGUGUGUGGGUGAAACUAUGCUCUCUGCUCCCCCUCCCCCUCUCCGUCCCCCUCCGUCCCCCUUGCCCCCGACCUCCACCCCUGCAAGGACGUGAUUCGGUCCUAAAGAGACCAGGAGCCCCCGCGCCCCUCCCCCGCCCCAUCGCAGGACUUUCUGGAUGUUCUUCCGUCCUUGUAGGAAAAUUACGAAGAAAUGAACAAGGCUCAGGAAGGCCCCGGGCCUUGCUGGAAAAUUUCCUUCUCACGUGUGGAAGGCGGGAGGAAAACUUUUUUUUUGAAAUUAAUCCAGGGCUAAAUAGUAGGGACAGCUCCUUUCAACUCCUGACUCUGAGGAACACAGGUGACCUCUGCCCACUUCAUCCCUUUCGCCCUCCCUCCCCACAGCCCCCCCCCCCUUUACCCGGCUACAAUGCUUUGCUGUAAAUUUUGCUAAAACAAGGCAAGCUCUAGCCUGAUCCCAGGAGGGCCUUCGUUAUUUUUUGCACUGGAUACUGAGAACGGUUUGGGGGACUGUGCAGUCCUUCAACCAAGGUCCUGCCCAGGUUUCAAGUGGGAGGAAGGUGAAGGAGGGGAAAAGAGAGAGACGGAAGGAGAGCGGGAGAGGGAGAGAGGGGGGAAGGGGGGAGAGAGAAGCACCAACCGAUGUGAAACAGCAGGUGACAAAUCCACUGAAGUCAGCAGCAUCAAAUUCAGUUUCUUAUUUUUAAUUCCAUUAGUACAAUCAAUUUCUAGAGGCCUGAAAAUAAACCUCAAAUCCAAAACACAACACAGCUCUCACAGAAAAAUAGAGAGGAAAGGGGGAAAAUCUCUUAAGAACAAUCUCCCAGAUUUAAUGAGAGAGUCGCCCACACCCUCAUCACCCAGCAUGGUAAUUGAGCAGAUCUAUUAACUUGUUACACUAGAUUUGUUUAAAGAGACUAUUACACAGUCAUUUAAUCAAUUUGUUACACUGGAGGUCCUGACUUAUGAGACACUUGCCUUAUGAUUCCUUAAUGACUGAAUUAAUUUGUUUUAAUAAAACCAACAUUGUGUACAAGUACAUUUCUGGAAAUGUAAUUUUGGAGACAGAACAGUCCAAUGCUUCAUCUGAUUAGGUCCUUCUAUGGUUUAUCAAAGUCUGUAGUUUCUGACAUAGCCGCUUGUAUGGAGUAUUUUUCUUUUUUAUAGCGCCAUUAAUUUAAUAUGGAUCAUUAGUUCUUUAUACACAUGCAUGUUCUGACAAAUGUACCCAAUGAAUAAUGCAGCUAAUGUGCUUAGGCCCAAAUGCAUCACAUCAUAAACAGAGACCUCUGCAAAAAUAACAACAAUGAAAUAAAACGCCCCCCUCCACUCACUGCGGUGAUCAUCAAGAUAGCAUUUCAUGUUACACUUCAGUCCUGUUUUGCAGAGGAAGAUAUGUUUGGCCCCAGGAUUAUAUCAACAUCACCAACUGGGUCUAACCAUGUAGGGAACACAAAUAGAUUUAUGGUGAAUUAAGAUUGUCUUGAGAGCAGAUGCAGGACGAGAAAAUCGGUUUUGCUCUUGAUGGAAACUGACGUGUGCAGAAUAAAAUGUAAAUAAACAGAAAGUCCCCAAGAAAAGGGACUUGAUGUUAUUGAUUAUGUAAAAUAAUGAGGACAUUACAAAUGAUAAUGCACUACAAAUAGUUGGCAUUUAUGGUUGGAUUUUUUUUACAAGAAGAAACAAUUUAGGCUAUGAAACACCACUUGAAAAAUGGGGCAUGAUCUGAAGGGCAAUAAAAAAAAAUAACGGGGGAUGGACUGAUCAAUUUGUAACUGAUAACGGAUAUAAAUGAUAACUGAAUGGGUCUGCUGCAGAGGGAGACAUUUGAGCUUAGAGGAGUGUAAGGUGAGUGAUGGUCCUACAAGAUCACGCGAGGCAUCAAGUGCCUCUGUAUUAAGUGUAGCUAUGCACAGAAGCCCAAUAUUGACUAACUAGCCUGUUAUUAUUACAGGGAAGAGGGAG
Molecule: non-coding RNA, 2790 nt
Organism: Sus scrofa (pig)
Lineage: Eukaryota; Metazoa; Chordata; Mammalia; Artiodactyla; Suidae
Source: RefSeq, a predicted model, not a curated record